GUGCAGCAGUCGAGAAUUUUUCUCAAUGGGGGCAACCCUGAAGGAGCGACGCCGCGUGGAGGAUGAAGGCUUUCGGGUCGUAAACUCCUGUCAUUUGAGAACAAGUGCCAACAAGUAACUACUGUUGGCUUGAUAGUAUCAGAAGAGGAAGGGACGGCUAACUCUGUGCCAGCAGCCGCGGUAAUACAGAGGUCCCAAGCGUUGUUCGGAUUCAUUGGGCGUAAAGGGUGCGUAGGUGGCGCCGUCAGUGGGGUGUGAAAUUCCGGAGCUUAACUCCGAAACUGCAUUCCAUACUGCGGUGCUUGAGGACUGGAGAGGAGACUGGAAUUCAUGGUGUAGCAGUGAAAUGCGUAGAGAUCAUGAGGAAGACCAGUGGCGAAGGCGGGUCUCUGGACAGUUCCUGACACUGAGGCACGAAGGCUAGGGGAGCGAACGGGAUUA
RNAcentral lists this ribosomal RNA (441 nucleotides) under uncultured organism. RNAcentral describes it as "bacterial SSU rRNA". It matches the Rfam family "Bacterial small subunit ribosomal RNA", at positions 346 to 780 of the family's 1533-position model. The record is from RNAcentral.